Long non-coding RNA from Carlito syrichta (Philippine tarsier), 548 nucleotides. RefSeq lists it as uncharacterized. The record is from RefSeq and is a predicted model, not a curated record. Lineage: Eukaryota; Metazoa; Chordata; Mammalia; Primates; Tarsiidae. The transcript is spliced from 2 exons.
GCGCAGGGGCUUUUUUUUCCUUGCUUUUUUUUCCCCCCUCUCCCACCCCCUUCUCUCUGCUGAUCCCCGCGACCUGCGAUUUCCCGGGGGUCCGGAGCUCUGGACCCCAAGGCACCGGCCACCCCCUCAGGACGGCUCAAGGCUCCUCAGGCAACCCCCGUGCCCCUCUCCACCCAUAAGCAGAGGGCCUCCCCCCAACCAUGAGGAUUUUUUUUUUCCUGGGGUGAAAAUGCCAGUCCCGGAGCCAGGGUUCCCGGACCCCCAGGGCCGAGCUGGGCGCGGGAGCCCCACGGGGGCGGGGAGGCCGCCGAGCUUGAAGAAGUGGAGAGAGCUGCACAACUUAAGUGGGCGUCCCCAUCCCAUCUUCCUGCUCAACCUCUUUGCCCCCAACUCCAUCUCUGCCACAUCCCCCCCCUCCAAAAAAAGAAGUCACUCCCGGGCUCUGUCUGCAGAGAGCCAGGGUGAGAGCGGGCAAGGCGAGAGAGCGACCUCGGUCGUGGGCAAGUAGCUUGUUUUUACGUCCUUCAAUAAAAUUUUUAUGAGGAUCA